This is a long non-coding RNA of Heterocephalus glaber (naked mole-rat), 601 nucleotides long. The record is from Ensembl. NCBI's taxonomy places the organism in Eukaryota, Metazoa, Chordata, Mammalia, Rodentia, Bathyergidae.
UUUACUCUUUUGGAUAAACUUUGCCACUGCUUUUUUUUUUUUUUUGUACCAGGGAUCGAACUCAGGACCUUCUGCUUUUGAGGUGGGCGGUGGCACCACUGAGCUAAAUCCCUGGCCCUGCCACUGCUUUUUGCUUGUUUCAUUGAAUUCUUUAUUCAAGAUGAGAAGAACCUGGAAUCCAACUCCAGAAGGACAGGAGUAUAAUCGCUGUUCAUAUGGUAACUUAAACCAUAUGAAAGAGAAAGCCAGGUUGUUCUACAAAGUGCUUAUAUCAUUUUACAUUCCCAGCAGCACUAUAUGAGGCUCCCAAUUCUCCAUAUUCUCACCAACACUUGUGUUAUGACAUGUUUUUAGAUGUCCCUCCAAUACUUCAUUCAAAUGAGGUGGGCUAUUUUGGAGGUGGCUGAAUCCAGAGUGUGUGAUUCAUGGUGCAAUGCUAGGCCCGAGAGCACUUGGAUUAAGGGUGUGAGUACUACGCAAUUUAAGUAGUCUGAAUAAGGUUAAAAAAAAAAAGAAAAGCACUGAGAAGCUGUUAAGGUUCCUUGUUGCUUUUGCUGUCUUCUGCUGCCCUGAACUGCCUCUCUGCCACCCUGCCUUGAAG